AUUGAACGCUGGCGGCAGGCCUAACACAUGCAAGUCGAGCGGAUGAAGGGAGCUUGCUCCUGGUUUCGGCGGCGGACGGGUGGGUAAGGCCUGGGAAUCUCCCUGUUAGUGGGGGAUAAGGUCCGAAAACGGGCGCAAUUACCCCAUACGCCCUUAGGGAGAACGUGGGGGAUCUUCGGACCUCCCGCUAUCGGAUGAGCCUAGGUCGGAUUAGCUAGUUGGUGGGUUAAAGGCCUACCAAGGCGACGAUCCGUAACUGGUCUGAGAGGAUGAUCAGUCACACUGGAACUGAGACACGGUCCAGACUCCUACGGGAGGCAGCAGUGGGGAAUAUUGGACAAUGGGCGAAAGCCUGAUCCAGCCAUGCCGCGUGUGUGAAGAAGGUCUUCGGAUUGUAAAGCACUUUAAGUUGGGAGGAAGGGCAGUAAGUUAAUACCUUGCUGUUUUGACGUUACCAACAGAAUAAGCACCGGCUAACUUCGUG
This 484-nucleotide ribosomal RNA is filed under the name uncultured bacterium. Its description in RNAcentral is "partial 16S ribosomal RNA". It matches the Rfam family "Bacterial small subunit ribosomal RNA", at positions 30 to 507 of the family's 1533-position model. The record is from RNAcentral.